Molecule: ribosomal RNA, 524 nt
Filed under: uncultured bacterium
Lineage: Bacteria
Description: partial 16S ribosomal RNA
Rfam family: Bacterial small subunit ribosomal RNA
Source: RNAcentral
GACGAACGCUGGCGGCGUGCCUAAUACAUGCAAGUCGAGCGCAGGAAACUGACGGAACUCUUCGGAGGGAAGGCAGUGGAAUGAGCGGCGGACGGGUGAGUAACACGUAAGGAACCUGCCUCAAGGAUUGGGAUAACUCCGAGAAAUCGGAGCUAAUGCCGGAUAGUUCAACGGACCGCAUGGUCCGCUGAUGAAAGGCGCUCCGGCGUCACCUUGAGAUGGCCUUGCGGUGCAUUAGCUAGUUGGUGGGGUAACGGCCCACCAAGGCGACGAUGCAUAGCCGACCUGAGAGGGUGAUCGGCCACACUGGGACUGAGACACGGCCCAGACUCCUACGGGAGGCAGCAGUAGGGAAUCUUCCACAAUGGACGAAAGUCUGAUGGAGCAACGCCGCGUGAGUGAUGAAGGUUUUCGGAUCGUAAAACUCUGUUGUAAGGGAAGAACACGUACGAGAGGGAAUGCUUGUACCUUGACGGUACCUUACGAGAAAGCCACGGCUAACUACGUGCCAGCCGCCGCUGUAA